GAGGGUAUAGCUCAAGUGGUAGAGCACCUUCUUAGCAUGCGUGAGUUCCUGGGUUCAAUCCCCAGUACCUCCA
RNAcentral lists this transfer RNA (73 nucleotides) under Camelus bactrianus (Bactrian camel). It matches the Rfam family "tRNA". From Rfam's summary of the family: Transfer RNA (tRNA) molecules are approximately 80 nucleotides in length. Their secondary structure includes four short double-helical elements and three loops (D, anti-codon, and T loops). The record is from Rfam by way of RNAcentral. RNAcentral also lists the same sequence under 1 other name. Lineage: Eukaryota; Metazoa; Chordata; Mammalia; Artiodactyla; Camelidae.